ACAUGUUUAGACUCCAAACCCUACUGAAAUACAACACUUCAUGAGAUUUCUUUGUCCACAAUUUAAUAAGCUGUUAAUUAAAUUUGUUCGAUCAAUUUUAGGUCAACAACAUGAACGAUCUAACCCAAAUGUUGGAUCUUUCAGCAGAAUUACAACCAUUUUUCACAAUAAUGUGCACACCACCUCUGGGUUCCCCUGCACCUGGCACUGGGAGAUCACACGCCACAUGAACCCUUAAUUCCAGGAAUGAUGGCCUAGUGGGAUUCAGCCUUAUCGGAACAUGGGACCUCUUCGGGUUGCCUCUCCAAAAGCCACCAAUCAGCCACUGGCUGUGCUGUUGGCGGGGUCUAUGUGCUUGUUUGGGGAGUUGAAUGUGGACACUUGAGACAGGCAUGCGCUAAGGACUGUACUGACUUUCUGAAUGAGCAUUAUCGGCUCUGUGCUUCGUCAUAAGGCUUUAUCCGUGCUGGGCCUCAUCUGUAGUCGUGGUCUUCUCUGACAUGAGUCGUGGAGUGUGUGCUGUGCUGGUGUGUAUUCACUGAAUAGGGUGCUCUUCAUAGAGGUGAUAUCUUGAGACUGCCCCUUGGGUACGCCCAGGAUCCUCUGCAGCAGCACAUUAGAACUUAAUAAAUUGAAGAGAGUGAUUGCUGGUCAACACCUUUUAAA
This is a long non-coding RNA of Carassius gibelio (silver crucian carp), 666 nucleotides long. RefSeq lists it as uncharacterized. The transcript has 4 exons. Lineage: Eukaryota; Metazoa; Chordata; Actinopteri; Cypriniformes; Cyprinidae. The record is from RefSeq and is a predicted model, not a curated record.